RNAcentral lists this long non-coding RNA (1109 nucleotides) under Brassica rapa (field mustard). Its description in RNAcentral is "long non-coding RNA (BRAP_LNC001826)". The record is from RNAcentral. Lineage: Eukaryota; Viridiplantae; Streptophyta; Magnoliopsida; Brassicales; Brassicaceae.
AAAAAAUGUUUUAUAAAUACAAAAUUAGUUUUAAUAAAUAUAAAUAUUUUUAUAAAUAUGAAAUCAUCUUUUUAUAAAUACAAAAUAGUUUUUAUAAAUACAAAAAAUAAUAAAAUAGUGUUUAUAAAUCAAAAAAAUGUUUUAUAAAUACAAAAUUAGUUUUAAUAAAUAUAAAUAUUUUUAUAAAUAUGAAAUCAUCUUUUUAUAAAUACAAAAUAGUUUUUAUAAAUACAAAAAAUAAUAAAAUAGUGUUUAUAAAUAAAAAAAUGUUUUAUAAAUACAAAAUUAGUUUUAAUAAAUAUAAAAUAGUAUAAAAAUUAAAAAAAUAGUUUAAAUAAAUCCCAAAAACAGUUAAUAAUUACAAAAAAUAGUUUUAAAAAUAUUUAAAAUGUUAAAUAAUUACAAAAAAUAGUUUUCAUAAUAUUAAAAAUGUUUAAUAAAUAUAGAAAUUUAUAUUUUAUAUAUAAAAUACAUAAAACGUUUUAUAACCACAAAAAAAUGAUUUUAAAUAUUAUAUAUAUGAUUUUUAAUCUUAAAAAAAGUUUUAUAGAUUUUAAAAAUGUUUAAUAAAUAUAUAAAUGAAUUUAAAAUGCAAAAAAUAGAUUUUAUAUACAAAAAACGUUUUCAAUAUAUAUAUAAUUACAAAUUCGAUUUUUAUAACCACAAAAUUAAUAAAAACUAAAAAAAAAAAAUUCAAAUCAAGUGAAAUACAUAAUCAAACUCGAUUUUACACAAAUCUACCAUUCACCCUAGCAAAAUCUAUAAAUCUCAUUCCAAAAUCAUCAAAUCUACUUAAAAACCAUACAAAUCUAACCUAAAAGAGUGGGAUAGGGUUCAUACAUGAGGAUUAGGGUGGAAAUCGCGAGGGAGAAGAGAGAAAGCGCCGUAAAUCGCAAGGGAGAAGAGAGGAGUCGACGAAAUCGCAGGGGAAAGAGAGAGUGCGGCGGAGAGAAAUGGGGAAGAAGGUCGGGCUCGACCUAAUAAAAUGAGGGGUCCGACGGAAAUUAUCCGUCGGAAUUUCCUCGGAAAUAUUUACUAUAUCCGUCGGAAUUUCCUCGGAAAUCAUUAAUUCAAUUUUCGCGAAAUAUUUGGCGGCUUGGUUUACCCGG